RNAcentral lists this ribosomal RNA (470 nucleotides) under uncultured organism. RNAcentral describes it as "partial 16S ribosomal RNA". It matches the Rfam family "Bacterial small subunit ribosomal RNA", at positions 335 to 797 of the family's 1533-position model. The record is from RNAcentral.
ACUCCUGCGGGAGGCAGCAGUGGGGAAUUUUGGACAAUGGGCGAAAGCCUGAUCCAGCCAUGCCGCGUGCAGGAUGAAGGCCUUCGGGUUGUAAACUGCUUUUGUACGGAACGAAACGGCCUUUUCUAAUAAAGAGGGCUAAUGACGGUACCGUAAGAAUAAGCACCGGCUAACUACGUGCCAGCAGCCGCGGUAAUACGUAGGGUGCAAGCGUUAAUCGGAAUUACUGGGCGUAAAGCGUGCGCAGGCGGUUAUGUAAGACAGUAGUGAAAUCCCCGGGCUCAACCUGGGAACUGCAUCUGUGACUGCAUAGCUAGAGUACGGUAGAGGGGGAUGGAAUUCCGCGUGUAGCAGUGAAAUGCGUAGAUAUGCGGAGGAACACCGAUGGCGAAGGCAAUCCCCUGGACCUGUACUGACGCUCAUGCACGAAAGCGUGGGGAGCAAACAGGAUUAGAAACCCCGGUAGUCCC